RNAcentral lists this ribosomal RNA (364 nucleotides) under Hellenolacerta graeca. RNAcentral's name for it is "partial 12S ribosomal RNA". It matches the Rfam family "Bacterial small subunit ribosomal RNA", at positions 866 to 1395 of the family's 1533-position model. Lineage: Eukaryota; Metazoa; Chordata; Lepidosauria; Squamata; Lacertidae. The record is from RNAcentral.
UUUCCGCCAGAGAACUACAAGUGAAAAACUUGAAACUCAAAGGACUUGACGGUGUCCCAUAUCGCCCUAGAGGAGCCUGUCCUAUAAUCGAUACUCCCCGUUCCACCCAACCUCAACUAGCAUAUCAUCAGCCUAUAUACCGCCGUCGAUCAGCCUACCCUAUGAAGGUCUAAUAGUAGACACAACAGCUUAACCGCUAAUACGUCAGGUCAAGGUGUAGCAAAUGUUGAGGAAGAGAUUGGCUACAUUUUUUAUGAUAAAAAACACGAAAAGCACUAUGAAACUGUGCAUGAAGGUGAAUUUAGUAGUAAAAUAGACAAGUGUGUCUACUUUAACAUCGCUCUGGGACGCGUACACACCGCCC